CGACGUGACUCUCGUUUCUCAGGAAAUCGAAGGAGAAACUCAGAGGAAAUGAAACUGGAAGACUGUUGGGGCCAGUCAUUACAACACACACACACACACACACUCACACACACACACACACACACACUCUCUCUCACACACACACGCACACGCACACACUCCCACACAUGCACACACACUCACACACACACACACACACACACACACACACACACACACGAGGCAGACUGAGGGUUUCAAAUAAUAAAAUAUAAAAUACAUAUAUCAAACUACUAGUAAACUUCUGACUCUACAAAAUGUCUGCAGAUGAAUUGAUGAAAAUGGUUCCUCGGAUUCUGUCCGACCACGUUUGAACCGUCUGUUCUCUUGGUACAGUUCACACCGACAGGAACCAGAAACGGGUCGUUUUGUCGUUUUUAGCUAAGAAAAACAAAAAGAAGAAAUCAGCUCGAUUUCUUGUUUCACUUUUCUUACUGAUGAACAUGUACACGACCCGAUGUUUGAUUUUCAUCGGUGGGCGGGUCUUCAGUGCCCCCUUGCUUCUGAUUGGCUAUGUAUGCGCUGUACUCUUCAAAAUAAAAGUGCUACUUCCUGCCUUCAGACGGUGCAAUGUCACUCAAAUCCUUUAAGUGAAGAUAACGAUACAAUGCCAAAGGACUAUAUUACCAUUUCUAUCAUUUGACUUACUGUUAGUCAUAACUGCAUGGAGGCUCUGUGUGUCACUAGGGCUGCUGCACCCCGACUUCCAUCGGCUGAGGAUGGUGAUUUUAUUAUUACGGAAUCUUUUCAUACAUUGUUCUACAACUAAAACACUUUGGUGUGUAUCAAACACAAGGAAAGUGUUUUUAAAACAGUUUGAUUUUUAAAAAAAAGAAGGAAGAAAGAGGCCAGAGUCCUGUCAUCCAGUCCCGAACACCAACCGGUUCUGAUGACGUCACCUGUAGGAAGUCCAAACUGCCCUGAUAUUUUUCAAGGCUCUUAUGAAGACUCCGGUCUACCCUCAACCCAGAGAACGACAAGUGCAUUCAUAAAUGAAAAAGUUAUUAUGUUAUCUGACUUGAUAUGUCACAUGUGUCUCACACAGUCAUGUAAAUGAUUCAAUUUUCACCAUAGGCCAUAUGGAUGUUCUCAAGACAGGUGUGACCUAUGCCUGCUCUCAUAGAUAUAUUCAUUUAUCUUCCUUUGAAUGUUUGUCUAUCUCUCUUCCCUUCUUUCCUCAUACAGUAUCCCUUGGCUGGCAGACAGGCGACAGUUCUGAAGAGGGCGUUCCUGCGAUUAAACCAAUCUCGCAUGGCAAUAUUGCCCAGUGUGUGUGAGUGUGUGUGUGUGUGUGUGUGUGUAUGUGUGUAUGUGUUUGUGUGUGUAGAUGAUGGGGGGUUUGUUCUAUUUUAAUAUUCUAAAGGCAGUUCUUUAUGUUUAUGUUUAUUUUUUCAGUUACUGAUUUCAUUAAUAAAUGUUUUUUCUUCA
This is a long non-coding RNA of Scophthalmus maximus (turbot), 1467 nucleotides long. RefSeq lists it as uncharacterized. The record is from RefSeq and is a predicted model, not a curated record. NCBI's taxonomy places the organism in Eukaryota, Metazoa, Chordata, Actinopteri, Pleuronectiformes, Scophthalmidae. The transcript has 2 exons.